CAGAGCAGGGUGGAAGGGCUGAUUUCUCUCCUGAUUGCAGACAGAGGUGCGGCAGCAGCUGAGCGCCUUCCCCUGGCAUGGCACCACGCUCUGCCAGAGGUCUUUCUGCGAGGUGGCCGCUGGCGAGGUGCGUGCAGGCUCCCAGGUGCCAGACCCCCUUGCUGGGAGCUGUCGGUGCCCCUCAACUGGAGGAUGGCACGGGGAUCUUCUCACUUCCCAAAACCUUGGGGGCUGUUUCGUUUCAGAAGCUCUCCAGCCAGGAGCUCAGCCCUGAGCCCUUGCAGGAGCCAUCCCAUGAGGCCCCAUGCAAGCUGAGCUGGCUCAUGGAGCAGCAUGAAGUCGUCAGCCACUGUGAGAGCCAACUCCAGCAGUACUGUGAGCACCAACACCCCCACCAUGCAGAGCCACCAUGUUGGGUUGUGCCACCGAACCUUUGCCAGGACUGGUGGAUGGCAGGGCCACGCUCAGCCAUCCCAUCCAAGUCCCCAAGCUGCUGCAGCCCCCCUCAUCCCUCUGCUUUGCUCCCAGCCAUGCUGGCAUGACUUGGGGUGUGGUGACUGUCAUUUGUGGCACCCCUGGGUGCCCUGGUGCUGGCCGUGCAAGGGGACUGGGGGGGCUCUGCAGCCAUAAAGCCACCAGGGUUUGGGAUGUCACCAUGCUGGGGGCCUGCAGGAGCUGGAGCAAAGCUUUGGUGUCUAUUUUCAGCCGACUUGGGGACCUUGGAGGACACGGCUGCCCAACUGGAGAAGGUGCCAAGCGAGACCAGGCACCUGCAGGAUGAAGGAGCGAAGGUGCCCAGCUGCCCGAUCCCUGGGGGGGUACUGCCUGAGAGUCUGGGGGCUGCAGCCCCCCAGCCUGCUUGCCGGGCUGCACAGGGACAUCUCUUGGGAUGUCCUCACUAGCCACUCCUGGGGCCACCCAUAAGCAUACCUCCCUGCCUCACCUGUGUCCUGCAGCCACUCAGGGCCCCACUUGUCCUCCCCAGGGGCUGGAUUUCGGCAGGGAGGUGCUGGACCAGGUGGGACAGCUGAAGGAGCAGUGCGCGAGGCUGCAGGAAGCUGCGGAGCGGCUGUGGGGUGACAUCGGGGACACCCAGGUGAGCACAGCCCUGGGAUCAGCUCAGGAGCCGCUUGAGCCGUGGUUGGCAUCUGAACCAGGCUGGGUAGAGGCUUGCCCAGACUUGGUGUGUCCCCACCAUGUCCCCCCCCAGAAAGCCGACAAAGCUGCGCUGGAGACCAAAUUGAGCCAGGAUGAGCUGCAACAUGCCAUGGUCCAGCUGAGCCAGAUGAUGCAGAACCUGCUGCAGAGGAUGUCCCUGCUGGACCAGGACAGGCAGAAAGACCUAGAGAAGCUCCUCAGCGAGAUGGACUCCAAGCUGGACUGCGCGGCCCUGGCUCCCCUGCAGGCAAAGCUGGAGCAGAUCUGGAGGCUCACCCAACGGUGCCUCUGCAAGGGACGCUGCUGUGGUGCCAACCGGGCUGCUGGGUUCAAGAGGUGGGAGCUGCUGGAUCCCAUCUUGUCCCCUUCUGUCCUCUCCUGUGCUGCCCCAUCCCCUCCCAUGCUGUCCCAUCC
This 1572-nucleotide long non-coding RNA is filed under the name Calidris pugnax (ruff). RNAcentral describes it as "lncRNA (ENSCPUG00000016956.1)". Lineage: Eukaryota; Metazoa; Chordata; Aves; Charadriiformes; Scolopacidae. The record is from RNAcentral.